Ictidomys tridecemlineatus (thirteen-lined ground squirrel) is the source of this 1980-nucleotide non-coding RNA. Lineage: Eukaryota; Metazoa; Chordata; Mammalia; Rodentia; Sciuridae. The record is from RefSeq and is a predicted model, not a curated record.
AGCCUCAGCAACUUAGUGAGACCAUGCUUCAAGAUAAAAAAUAUAAAAAGGGCUGGGGAUGUGCUCAGUGGUUAAGUGCCCCUGGGUUCAAUCUGUAGUACUAAAAGAAAGGAAAAAGAAAAUUUACCCCUUUGGAACCAUAUCACUCAAUAUAAAGGAGUCCAGUUACUUGCUCUUCUAGUUCCCACUUUGAUUUCUUACCUGCUGGAUGAAAAUACUUUUGCCUCAGCAAGUUCAGUUUCUAAAUAUCUUCAUGAGUUUGUACUCCAGAACUUAAUGCAUAUUGGAUCUCAGUAUCCACAUGCUUUCAAGACGGUAAUGAGGGCUGCUCCUGAGUUGAAAGUGCGGCUAGAAACUGCUGAUGAAGCGAGCCAAGCCAGCAAGGCUAGAGCUGCUGUGAGGCAGCCAGCUCCUACCGGACAUUCUGCACUGAAAAUCAAGCUAAAAAUAAGCUUUUUUAAUGUGUUCCUCCACUCAUUUUUAUAUGUAUUUCACCGAAUUAGUGGUAGCCACUGUACCAUUCCAGGCUAUGGAUUCUAUAUUAUUUGUAUAUUGGUAUUAUAAUGCUUCCAAGAAGGUUAAGAAAGUCUUGUUCAUACCACUAUUGAUUUUAAGUGAUUUUUAAAAAUUAUGUGGUGAGUAUGUUUUCAUUUUUCUGCUAAUAAUGUUUCUCUUUUAUUAAUUUUUCAUUGUUUUGUUUUUGGUUUUUGUGGUGCUGGGGAUUGAACCCUGCACCUUGCACAUGCUAAGCAUACACCGUAAUACUGAGCUAUACCCCCAAGCCCUAAUUUAUUUUUUAAACACUGAACCAUAGUCUUUUACAUGCUGAAUACACAAUUGUAUCGUGUACUGGGACAGAAUGUGGACAUUAUCAGGGGAAAAAAUAGGUCAAAAUUUGGCAUUUGUUAUGAAAAAUUCCAUUGCAAAAUAAGUAAAUUUUACAUUUUCAAGAAACCAAAAUAAUAUAAAGUCUCUUUCAUGGUGUACCUACUAUGAAUAAAAUCAAAUUUUUUAAACAUUGCUCAAAAUAUUAUCUUCUGAUAUAUCUGUUCACUUUAAUAUUAAAUUACUGAAUUGUGUUUGUGUAUAUUUUAGUUGUUAAUUUAAUUAAAGUUCUCAUCUAAAGGUCCAUUAAAAUGUUUCUAAUGUAGUAUAAUUUUUCUACCUUUUUUAUGUUUUGUAAUUACAGAGACUCAGGUUCUGACUGUGAUGGUUAGUUUCAUGCAUCAAAUAUUUAUUGAAUGCCUACUGUGUAUAAGGCAUCAAGAUAAGUGCUUCAGGGCAUACAAAAAUAAGGUAGUCAUAAUUAUAGUUAUGAUAGUCUCUUAUGCGAUGGGAAUUUUUCCUUGCAAAAAUAGAUAAUUGAUUAAAUGAAUGUAUACCACAGCAUUUAGCAGAUUUUAAACACCAAAUUUUAUCAGAAAAUGUAACAUAGACUAUAUCAAAAGCAAGUGACUUUUCUGAAUAUUUCAAGCUAUAUAUUUAUUUAUCACUUGCUACUUGCCAUUUAUUCUCAUCAUACCUACACCAUUUGGCAGCUAGCUUAUAGAUCCUUGCAUUCUUCCUGGCUCAGUUUUUUAAAUACCUCAGAAAGUCACUUUCUCUCACCUGUUUUCUCACUGACUUUUAUUUCUACAGAGUUGUUUUUCAUUUCUGACGUGUUUCCAAAGUUAUUCUUCUUGUUUUUGUUUUUGUUUUUAAUUUUGAUAAAAGUCUAUAAAAUGACUUCACAUAUUAUACAAUUUAUCUAUUUAAAGUGUACCAUUCAGUUGUUUUUAUUAUAAUCACAGGGUAGUACAACUCUCACUAUAGUCAAUUUUGAACAUCUUAAUUACUCCCAAAAGAAACUCCAUAUUCUUUACCUGUCAUCUCACAAUUUUCCAUUUCCCAUCAGCCUUAGGCAACUGAUAAUCUACUUUCUGUCUCUAUAAAUUUGCUACAGUGGUAUUUCAUAUAAAUUAAAUCAUAUAAUAUGUGGUC